CAGCCGUAAACUAUGCGCGUUAGGUGUACUGGUGACCACGAGUCACCGGGGUGCCGAAGGGAAACCGUGAAACGUGCCGCCUGGGAAGUACGGUCGCAAGGCUGAAACUUAAAAGGAAUUGGCGGGGGAGCACCACAACGGGUGGAGCCUGCGGUUUAAUUGGACUCAACGCCGGGAAGCUCACCGGAUAAGACAGCGGAAUGAUUGCCGGGCUGAAGACUCUGCAUGACUAGCUGAGAGGAGGUGCAUGGCGUAGACGUCU
Molecule: ribosomal RNA, 262 nt
Filed under: uncultured archaeon
Lineage: Archaea
Description: partial 16S ribosomal RNA
Rfam family: Archaeal small subunit ribosomal RNA
Source: RNAcentral